Anolis carolinensis (green anole) is the source of this 1651-nucleotide long non-coding RNA. RefSeq lists it as uncharacterized. The transcript has 2 exons. The record is from RefSeq and is a predicted model, not a curated record. NCBI's taxonomy places the organism in Eukaryota, Metazoa, Chordata, Lepidosauria, Squamata, Anolidae.
CCUUUUGGCAUCUGGAUCCUUACUGGAGUCAGCAAAGUGGAGUCCACGUUAUUUACCUCCCGAGAUCACAUGAUGGGGAAAAGGAGGAGGAGGAGGAGGAGGCGAGGAAGAGAAGGAAGACCUUUCAGCUGCACAUCUGGAGGAUGCUCUGUCCUGGCACACCCAGUCUCACAGUUUCUUCCUGUUCAGAUCUACAGCCUGUAUUCUCCCAAUGUGGCAUGCCUUUAGAGUGAAUGCCACCUUGUUACUGAGAGCGGAUGGCCAGAAGGCACAGAUAUUCCACGAGCCCUUUGAGUUUCUUAUCCUACCUAUUAGAGAAGACAUUAUGUUAUAAUUCUGCCCGAUCCGUUAAUGAGAGAUGGAUACUAUACUACUUUUAUUCUUAGCUUAUUUAUCCAUAUUUAUGCUUUUCCCAGUGUGUUUUUAUUGUUUUUGUUCUUUGUUUUUAAUCAAUGUUUUAAACUGUUUUAAUUCUAUAGGCAAUUUAUAUUAUUUAAUGUUUUUAGCUCUGUGCAUUUCUACCUGUAAUUCAUUUUAUGUUAUAAGACACCUUGAGCUUUCGGGGAAAGGCGUGGUAUAUAAACAAAAUCCAAAAGCAAACUUUGCUUUUGCCAUUUUGUAUAAGGGACAUGAUUUUGCUACAUCACUGUAUACAUUUCGAGCUGAGCAUCCAUGGGAGUAGAGAUGGGUGGUUCUAGUACCAAACACCAGAAGAUGCCAAAGGUCCACUUAAUGUUCUUUUCUCUACAAUCUCACAAUUGCGCAGAAUGAAGCAAUUACCCCAGGCAACAGAUGCUGGAAAGUUGCAAGAAGCGGUGGGAACCCUCUCACCAUCUGCCUUGUUGAGGGCUGUGGCCUUCCUGCAAAGUAAAGGGAGAGAGGUGAGAUCAUUUUCUAUUUGAAGCCACUUUAAAUGCACACACCUUUUUCUUGUUAGGUAAUUUCCAAUCUUGGCAUCCACUAAGAGCAAAACAGCUGAAGAUGAUUUUAAGUGAUGCAAGUGUGUGCAUUUGUGGAAGACAUUCUCUAUUCAACACACGCUGUCCUUGACAGCAUCUCCCAUUUCUACCUUACUUUACAAACAAAAUGAUUUUGCAUAGGUGAUUACUCCACUGUUAUAUCUUGUUGGGCCCUAAUGUUGAUUUAUAGGAGUGUUGUAAAGAUUGCAAGACAGCAUCUGUGACUGAGUGAUAGGGAUAUAAAUCUUGAUAAAUUUAGUUAUUGCAGGGAAGAAUAAAUACCAAUUAUUUUCCUUGCAGCAAGAAAGUUGUCAAAAGCUGUGCAGCUUUUGUGUUAUUUGCAAUCUGGGCUGAAUUUUUUUUAAAAAAAUGCACAUUGUUUUUCUGCACUGAAAAUGACACUUUCUAAGCAGGAAUGUUAUUUUCUGCACUGAAAUGCAGAAAACCACAUACACUUUUCACACAGCCCGGGGCUGUGGCGCAGACGGGAGAGCAAUGAGUCACUGACCAGGAGGUCAUAAGUUCGAGGCCCGCUGGAGCUAUGUUUGUUUGUCUUUGUCCUGUGUUAAAAAGGCAUUGAAUGUUUGCCUAAUACAGUAUGUGUAAUGUGAUCCGCCCUGAGUCCCCUUCGGGGUGAGAAGGGCGGAAUAUAAAUGAUGUAAAUAAAUAAAUAAUCUUUCCAAAUCUGUGAA